This 230-nucleotide unclassified non-coding RNA is filed under the name Sordariomycetes sp. Its description in RNAcentral is "partial contains 5.8S ribosomal RNA, internal transcribed spacer 2, and large subunit ribosomal RNA". Lineage: Eukaryota; Fungi; Ascomycota; Sordariomycetes. The record is from RNAcentral.
CGCACAUUGCGCCCAUUAGUAUUCUAACGGGCAUGCCUGUUCGAGCGUCAUUUCAACCCUCAAGCACUGCUUGGUGUUGGGGCCCUAGUGUCUAGGCCCUGUAAUUUAGUGGCGGAUCUGCUGUAUCCUGAGCGUAGUAAUAUUUCGUUCCGGGCUUAUAGUAGCUCCUGCCGUGAAACCCACUUUGUAAAGUUGACCUCGGAUCAGGUAGGAAUACCCGCUGAACUUAA